UUUACCAAAAACAUCACCUCUAGCAUAAAAAGUAUUAGAGGCAAUGCCUGCCCAGUGACAUUAGUUCAACGGCCGCGGUAUCCUGACCGUGCAAAGGUAGCAUAAUCACUUGUUCUCUAAAUAAGGACUGGUAUGAAUGGCUUCACGAGGAUUUUACUGUCUCUUACUUCCAAUCAGUGAAACUGACCUUCCCGUGAAGAGGCGGGAAUAGACCAAUAAGACGAGAAGACCCUAUGGAGCUUUAAUUAAUUAACUCACAAGUAACAAUAACAUUCUACAAGAAACUAAACUUAUACUAACUGAGUUAACAAUUUGGGUUGGGGUGACCUCGGAAUAAAAAACAACUUCCAAGAGAUUUCAAUUGAGACAAACAAGUCAAAAUUACCACACAUCCCUAUUGAUCCGUCAAUUAGACGACCAACGAAACAAGUUACCCUAGGGAUAACAGCGCAAUCCUAUUUAAGAGUCCAUAUCGACAAUUAGGGUUUACGACCUCGAUGUUGGAUCAGGACAUCCCAAUGGUGCAGCAGCUAU
This 534-nucleotide ribosomal RNA is filed under the name Murina feae (ask gray tube-nosed bat). Its description in RNAcentral is "partial 16S ribosomal RNA". It matches the Rfam family "Bacterial large subunit ribosomal RNA", at positions 1803 to 2565 of the family's 2925-position model. The record is from RNAcentral. Lineage: Eukaryota; Metazoa; Chordata; Mammalia; Chiroptera; Vespertilionidae.